GUUGAUUUUUCUGAAAAGAAGGUAACUCCAUUGAGACGGGUCCUUGGUUCUGGAGAUUGGGGAGAUUAGGUCUAACAGAUUCUAGGACCCCAGGUUGACAUCAUACCAAGUAAGAGAAUGUUUAGUGAGGACAGUCCAUCUCUAUGAGGAAGACGAAGCUCCCAACUACCGUCAAAUGAUCUGCCUCCAUAUCAGACAAUUUAUAUAUUAGCGUGGACUUCCUUG
Molecule: non-coding RNA, 225 nt
Organism: Pelobates cultripes (western spadefoot toad)
Lineage: Eukaryota; Metazoa; Chordata; Amphibia; Anura; Pelobatidae
Source: the annotation of a GenBank genome assembly